This 1219-nucleotide ribosomal RNA is filed under the name Craspedostauros australis. RNAcentral describes it as "partial Bacterial large subunit ribosomal RNA". It matches the Rfam family "Bacterial large subunit ribosomal RNA", at positions 1702 to 2925 of the family's 2925-position model. Lineage: Eukaryota; Bacillariophyta; Bacillariophyceae; Mastogloiales; Achnanthaceae. The record is from RNAcentral.
UCGUUAAGGAACUUUGCAAUCUAACCCCGUAACUUCGGAAGAAGGGGUCCCCACACUCUGUGUGGGGCGCAGUGAAUAGGCCCAGGCGACUGUUUACCAAAAUCACAGCACUCUGCCAACACGAACAGUGGACGUAUAGGGUGUGACGCCUGCCCGGUGCCGGAAGGUUAAUUGAUGGGGUUAGCGCAAGCGAAGCUCUUGAUCGAAGCCCCGGUAAACGGCGGCCGUAACAAUAACGGUCCUAAGGUAGCGAAAUUCCUUGUCGGGUAAGUUCCGACCUGCACGAAUGGCGUAACGAUGGCGGCGCUGUCUCCACCCGAGACUCAGUGAAAUUGAAAUCGCUGUGAAGAUGCAGUGUAUCCGCGGCUAGACGGAAAGACCCCGUGAACCUUUACUAUAGCUUUGCACUGGACUUUGAGCUUGCUUGUGUAGGAUAGGUGGGAGGCUUUGAAGUGGGGACGCCAGUUCUCAUGGAGCCAUCCUUGAAAUACCACCCUGGCAACCUUGAGGUUCUAACUCUGGUCCGUUAUCCGGAUCGAGGACAGUGUAUGGUGGGUAGUUUGACUGGGGCGGUCUCCUCCCAAAGAGUAACGGAGGAGUACGAAGGUGCGCUCAGACCGGUCGGAAAUCGGUCGUAGAGUAUAAAGGCAAAAGCGCGCUUGACUGCGAGACAGACACGUCGAGCAGGUACGAAAGUAGGUCUUAGUGAUCCGGUGGUUCUGUAUGGAAGGGCCAUCGCUCAACGGAUAAAAGGUACUCCGGGGAUAACAGGCUGAUACCGCCCAAGAGUUCAUAUCGACGGCGGUGUUUGGCACCUCGAUGUCGGCUCAUCACAUCCUGGGGCUGAAGCCGGUCCCAAGGGUAUGGCUGUUCGCCAUUUAAAGUGGUACGCGAGCUGGGUUUAGAACGUCGUGAGACAGUUCGGUCCCUAUCUGCCGUGGACGUUUGAGAUUUGAGAGGGGCUGACCUUAGUACGAGAGGACCGGGUUGGACGAACCUCUGGUGUUCCGGUUGUCACGCCAGUGGCAUUGCCGGGUAGCUAUGUUCGGAAAAGAUAACCGCUGAAAGCAUCUAAGCGGGAAACUUGCCUCAAGAUGAGAUCUCACUGGAGCCUUGAGCUCCCUAAAGGGCCGUCGAAGACUACGACGUUGAUAGGUGGGGUGUGUAAGCGCUGUGAGGCGUUGAGCUAACCCAUACUAAUUGCCCGUGAGGCUUGACC